Molecule: ribosomal RNA, 1468 nt
Filed under: metagenome
Description: bacterial SSU rRNA
Rfam family: Bacterial small subunit ribosomal RNA
Source: RNAcentral
AGAGUUUGAUCCUGGCUCAGGACGAACGCUGGCGGCGUGCCUAACACAUGCAAGUCGAGCGGAGACAGUGAGUAGCUUGCUAUGAGCUGUUUUAGCGGCGGACGGGUGAGUAACGCGUGAGCAACCUUUCCCAGACAGGGGGAUAACACACCGAAAGGUGUACUAAUACCGCAUAAGACCACGGGAUCACAUGGUUCUGGGGUAAAAGAUUUAUCGGUUUGGGGUGGGCUCGCGUCCGAUUAGGUAGUUGGUGAGGUAACGGCCCACCAAGCCGACGAUCGGUAGCCGACCUGAGAGGGUGAUCGGCCACAUUGGGACUGAGACACGGCCCAAACUCCUACGGGAGGCAGCAGUGGGGAAUAUUGGGCAAUGGAGGAAGCUCUGACCCAGCAACGCCGCGUGGAGGAAGAAGGUUUUCGGAUCGUAAACUCCUGUCCUUGGAGACGAGUAGAAGACGGUAUCCAAGGAGGAAGCCCCGGCUAACUACGUGCCAGCAGCCGCGGUAAUACGUAGGGGGCAAGCGUUGUCCGGAAUAAUUGGGCGUAAAGGGCGCGUAGGCGGCUCGGUAAGUCUGGAGUGAAAGUCCUGCUUUUAAGGUGAGAAUUGCUUUGGAUACUGUCGGGCUUGAGUGCAGGAGAGGUUAGUGGAAUUCCCAGUGUAGCGGUGAAAUGCGUAGAGAUUGGGAGGAACACCAGUGGCGAAGGCGACUAACUGGACUGUAACUGACGCUGAGGCGCGAAAGUGUGGGGAGCAAACAGGAUUAGAUACCCUGGUAGUCCGCACGGUAAACGAUGAAUGCUCGCUAUGGGCGAUAUAUUGUCCGUGGCCAAGCGAAAGCGUUAAGUAUUCCACCUGGGGAGUACGCCGGCAACGGUGAAACUCAAAGGAAUUGACGGGGGCCCGCACAAGCGGAGGAACAUGUGGUUUAAUUCGAUGAUACGCGAGGAACCUUACCCGGGCUUGAAUUGCAGGUGCAUGAGUCAGAGAUGAUUCUUUCCUUCGGGACUCCUGUGAAGGUGCUGCAUGGUUGUCGUCAGCUCGUGCCGUGAGGUGUCGGCUUAAGUGCCAUAACGAGCGCAACCCUUCUCCCCAGUUGCCAUCGGGUAAUGCCGGGCCCUCUGGGGACACUGCCAUCGUAAGAUGCGAGGAAGGUGGGGAUGACGUCAAAUCAGCACGGCCCUUACGUCCGGGGCCACACACGUGUUACAAUGGGGGGUACAGAGGGCCGCUGUCCGGUGACGGUCGGCCAAUCCCUAAAACCCCUCUCAGUUCGGACUGGAGUCUGCAACCCGACUCCACGAAGCUGGAUUCGCUAGUAAUCGCGCAUCAGCCAUGGCGCGGUGAAUACGUUCCCGGGCCUUGUACACACCGCCCGUCAAGCCAUGAAAGCCGGGGGUGCCUGAAGUCCGUGACCGCGAGGGUCGGCCUAGGGUAAAACUGGUGAUUGGGGCUAAGUCGUAACAAGGUA